Molecule: long non-coding RNA, 120 nt
Organism: Empidonax traillii (willow flycatcher)
Lineage: Eukaryota; Metazoa; Chordata; Aves; Passeriformes; Tyrannidae
Exons: 3
Source: RefSeq, a predicted model, not a curated record
UGACAAACUCCUCUUUCUAAUAUCCAACCCAAACCUCCCCUGACAAAACUUCAGGCCGUUCCCUGUGGUCCUGUCACUGGUCACCACAGAAAAGAGAUCAUUGCCUGAACAGUUUUGUUC